AUUGAACGCUGGCGGCAGGCCUAACACAUGCAAGUCGAACGGUAACAGGAAGAAGCUUGCUUCUUUGCUGACGAGUGGCGGACGGGUGAGUAAUGUCUGGGAAACUACCUGAUGGAGGGGGAUAACUACUGGAAACGGUAGCUAAUACCGCAUAACGUCGCAAGACCAAAGAGGGGGACCUUCGGGCCUCUUGCCAUCGGAUGUGCCCAGAUGGGGUUAGCUAGUAGGUGGGGUAACGGCUCACCGAGGCGACGAACCCUAGCUGGUCUGAGAGGAUGACCAGCCACACUGGAACUGAGACACGGUCCAGACUCCUACGGGAGGCCGCAGUGGGGAAUAUUGCACAAUGGGCGCAAGCCUGAUGCAGCCCUGCCGCGUGUAUGAAGAAGGCCUUCGGGUUGUAAAGUACUUUCAGCGGGGAGGAAGGGAGUAAAGUUAAUACCUUUGCUCAUUGACGUUACCCGCAGAAGAAGCACCGGCUAACUCCGUG
RNAcentral lists this ribosomal RNA (490 nucleotides) under uncultured bacterium. RNAcentral describes it as "partial 16S ribosomal RNA". It matches the Rfam family "Bacterial small subunit ribosomal RNA", at positions 30 to 507 of the family's 1533-position model. The record is from RNAcentral.